Molecule: ribosomal RNA, 498 nt
Filed under: uncultured bacterium
Lineage: Bacteria
Description: partial 16S ribosomal RNA
Rfam family: Bacterial small subunit ribosomal RNA
Source: RNAcentral
GGAUGAAUGCUGGCGGCGUGCCUAAUACAUGCAAGUCGAGCGAACGGACGAGGAGCUUGCUCCUUUGACGUUAGCGGCGGACGGGUGAGUAACACGUGGAUAACCUACCUAUAAGACUGGGAUAACUUCGGGAAACCGGAGCUAAUACCGGAUAAUAUAUUGAACCGCAUGGUUCAAUAGUGAAAGACGGUUUUGCUGUCACUUAUAGAUGGAUCCGCGCCGCAUUAGCUAGUUGGUAAGGUAACGGCUUACCAAGGCAACGAUGCGUAGCCGACCUGAGAGGGUGAUCGGCCACACUGGAACUGAGACACGGUCCAGACUCCUACGGGAGGCAGCAGUAGGGAAUCUUCCGCAAUGGGCGAAAGCCUGACGGAGCAACGCCGCGUGAGUGAUGAAGGUCUUCGGAUCGUAAAACUCUGUUAUUAGGGAAGAACAAAUGUGUAAGUAACUAUGCACGUCUUGACGGUACCUAAUCAGAAAGCCACGGCUAACUACGUG